Molecule: microRNA precursor, 160 nt
Filed under: Oryza brachyantha (malo sina)
Lineage: Eukaryota; Viridiplantae; Streptophyta; Magnoliopsida; Poales; Poaceae
Description: MIR812 microRNA precursor family
Rfam family: MIR812 microRNA precursor family
Source: Rfam by way of RNAcentral
UUCAGUUUGAUUCUUCGUCUUAUUUGAUUUUUUUACAAUUAAUAUUUUUAUUAUUAUUGGAUAAUAAAAUAUGAAUAUUACUUUGCAUGUGACUAUUUUUUUAAGUUUUUCUACAAAAUUUUCAAAUAAGACGAAUGGUCUAACGUUGGACAAAAAAAUC